This is a small nuclear RNA of Hyla sarda, 190 nucleotides long. RefSeq annotates it as U2 spliceosomal RNA. The transcript has a single exon. Lineage: Eukaryota; Metazoa; Chordata; Amphibia; Anura; Hylidae. The record is from RefSeq and is a predicted model, not a curated record.
AUCGCUUCUCAGCCUUUAGGCUAAGAUCAAGUGUAGUAUCUGUUCUUAUCAGGUUAAUAUCUAAUGGGUCCCUUGUCUGGGGACCAUAUAUUAAAUAGAUUUUUUAAGACAGUGGCCGAUUUCAAAGCUUGCUACGUCGCUCUAUGCAUUGACCCGAUAUGGCAGUAUCUGUGGGUACAGUGCAACACCC